GAUCGCGGCGACGUGGGCGGUUCGCCGCUGGCGACGUCGCGAGAAUUCCACUGAACCUUAUCAUUUAGAGGAAGGAGAAGUCGUAACAAGGUUUCCGUAGGUGAACCUGCGGAAGGAUCAUUGUCGAACCCUGCAAGGCAGAACGACCUGUGAACACGUAAAUACAACUGGGUGAUGGGGAGAUGGGCCUUGGUCCUUUUCCCCAUCCCCUCCCGGCGUGCAUGUGUGGUGCCUCGUCUGAGGUGCCAUGGAUGUCAAGCUGGAUUAUAACAAAACCCCGGCACGGCAUGUGCCAAGGAUAUGCAUGCGGUUCGUGGACUCUUUGUAAUUACAAACGACUCUCGGCAACGGAUAUCUCGGCUCACGCAUCGAUGAAGAACGUAGCAAAAUGCGAUACUUGGUGUGAAUUGCAGAAUCCCGUGAACCAUCGAGUUUUUGAACGCAAGUUGCGCCCGAAGCCAUUCGGCCGAGGGCACGCCUGCCUGGGCGUCACGCAUCGCGUCGGCCCCCCACCAUAUUAACUCAUGGUGAUGGGGGCGGAGAUUGGUCUCCCGUGCCUGUUGCGGUUGGCCUAAAAAGGAGUCCCCUUCAGUGGACACACGAUUAGUGGUGGUUGAACAGGCCUUCGUCUUUAUCGUGUGUCGUGAGCUCUAGGGAAGCCAUCAUCAAAGACCCCAUUGUAUCGUUUGAGGACGGUGCUUCGACCGCGACCCCAGGUCAGGCGGGACUACCCGCUGAGUUUAAGCAUAUCAAUAAGCGGA
RNAcentral lists this ribosomal RNA (761 nucleotides) under Leontodon rigens. RNAcentral describes it as "eukaryotic LSU rRNA". The stretch from base 337 to 492 matches the Rfam family "5.8S ribosomal RNA". The record is from RNAcentral. Lineage: Eukaryota; Viridiplantae; Streptophyta; Magnoliopsida; Asterales; Asteraceae.